RNAcentral lists this ribosomal RNA (434 nucleotides) under uncultured bacterium. RNAcentral's name for it is "partial 16S ribosomal RNA". It matches the Rfam family "Bacterial small subunit ribosomal RNA", at positions 29 to 507 of the family's 1533-position model. The record is from RNAcentral.
AGUGAACGCUGGCGGCAGGCCUAACACAUGCAAGUCGAACGAACCUACCGGGAGUAGUGGCGGAUGCGGGUGUCACACGUCGGAAGGUUCCUUUAUGUAUGGAAUACCUCUGGGACACGUGUGCUAACGCCGAAUGUGCCCUUCUAGGGCAGGAUUUAUCGCCCUUAGAGCGGCCCGCGUUGGAUUAGCUAGUUGGGUGAGGUAAUGGCUCACCAAGGCGACGAUCAGUAGCUGGUCUGAGAGGAUGAUCAGCAACAUUCGGACUGAGACACGGCCCAAACUCCUACGGGAGGGAGGAGUGGGGAAUCUUGCGCAAUCGGCGAAGGGAUGACGGAGCCAGGCUGGGUGAAUGAUGAAGGUCUUAGGAUUGUAAAAUUCUUUCACCGGGGACGGUAAUGACGGUACCCGAAGAAGAAGCCCCGGCUAACUUCGUG